ACCAAGGACCAGAUUUUCAUCUGUGUACCUUUGUUUUCCUCUCCAUUUCCAAUGGUGUCUAGUAUUUCACAGACACUGGUCUGCGGGGGCCUCUUCCACCGAGGCUUCCUGGAUGACUCAAGACUGACCUCCUGACAUUUUGAAUCUGACAUUUACUUUUCCUUCGAAGUAAUGAUUCAUGACCACUCUGCCUUCAACUUUGUUUCUGCUCUGUGUUUCCCUGGGCAAAUGGAAAGAGCUUGAGGACAAGUCUUUUCACUACUAGCUCUGACACAGGACAAGUCAUGUGAUCUCCCUGGAUGAAGAGGGAUUGGAUGACCCAAGUUUUUGGGUCAUGAGUGUGUUAUCUUUUCACCAUUUAGGAAUGUUGAAAGUCCUGGGGAAUCUUAGAGAAUGGAAAGCACUUUUCCAUAGUGUUUAAAUAUAGAAUUUCUCAAAGUCCUUUUGACUAAGGACUUUCUCCUUGCCCUUUCCCCUAACGUAAGUGCCUGUUGAUACCUUGUGGAAAUAGGAAAACAAGUAGUCAAGACGUUUUAUGGAUUUUGGGAGACAGAAGUCUGUCUCAGAACUUACGUUCUCAGAUUUGUAUUAAGGGACAGGGCAAGGCCUGCUCACCAACAAGUCAGUGAUAGAAGACAAACAGAACGACGGUUUUGGGUCAUUCUCUAAAAGUAGGCUGCUAGCACACCCUUUGUCAACUUCGUCUUGUCUGAGCUAUUUUAUGGGCCUGCCGCUCAGUAAGUCAGCAAUUAAUAAGUCUAAACAGAGUCAAAGCCUCCACCUUCCUUGUACAAGGGACUCCAAGUUAUUUGGGGUGAGGGGUGGAGAUCUACCAGAAAGCUUUUUAUCUUUUAAUGACAAUAGUGGUUGUGUUCUUUCUUGGGCCAUCACCACCGGGUUCUUAAAAUGAGGAUUUGAUCUACAACUUUGUAGACUCCACCAGGGGCAAGUCCUGCUCUCCUUGCUAUCCAUUCCCCACCCUGCAUCUGUCCGCCAUUGCAAAGGCUCAGAAGCCCAGCCGAGAGAGCAAGGCUGUUGUCCAAUUCAAAGAAAUGACAAGGAAAUACAGCCCUCCCCACCUGGAUGGUAAAUUACUGUGAGGGAGGCAGAAUACACUCUCCACAAAUGAAAGUAACUCUUAAUUAAGCAGGAGCCGAAGAUCUGAAGCUGUUUGUUCUUCAAGACGUGUGCCGCUUCCACAUUCCACAUGGUCAGGGGGCUGUCGGGCUGCCAUGGAGAUGGAAUUUAAGUAUAGAACUGGAAGGGCCUCAGCCUGGGACAGAACUGGGAUGCUUGGGACAAAGAACUUGAAGAAUCCUAUCAGGUUGAAUGGAAGAACAGUAUGUAGACUUGAGUCUGAGGAGGAUGGAUAGCCUUUGAGAGUCCCACUACAGACAGACACACUGCUUGAAUGGCUGAGUUUCCAGAUUUUUUGUCCAGUUUGUAGUUUGUAAUUUCAUGUCUCCAUGUCAAAAAAAAAUCUACAGGAUUCAUUUAUCCAUUUAUCCAAGGAUCUUCUAUGUCACACGAGAAGACUUGAGGCCUAUCUGACCACAAGCUGGAGUUCUUGAAUAUUCAUAAUUUGUGUCUUACAUAAUGUGCUCUCUCCCCCAUCGCACCUGCUCGCUUUGAGUGAAUUUAUUAAGCGGAUCCCUUGCACGAGCAAAGGCACGGCUCUGAAAGCCAAGCAGCAAGCCUGUCUUCCCAUCUGCUCCCGUUCUGUGCUGACUGCAGGGGCUGUUUACCUCCAGAGUCUGAAGAAGCUGUGAACAAACAGAAGGCAAGGCAGUUUCCCGAACUGCUCAGAGUGGAUUACAUCACACGGGAAAACAACCCAGACCUGAGGAAUUGCAUUGUGGGAGAAUCCCACUUCUUCCGAGUGUCACUUGACACACACUUGGCAGCUAGGAUCUAUAUGAUUAGUAUGGCUCAUCCAAGGCUUCCCAUUUUCUCUGAGAUGCCAGUGUUUGUGAAAUAGCUUCUCUACUUGAAUAAACAUUUUCUUAUCACUA
Long non-coding RNA from Mesocricetus auratus (golden hamster), 2012 nucleotides. RefSeq lists it as uncharacterized. The record is from RefSeq and is a predicted model, not a curated record. NCBI's taxonomy places the organism in Eukaryota, Metazoa, Chordata, Mammalia, Rodentia, Cricetidae. The transcript is spliced from 5 exons.